GUACCCCCUUUUGUCCCCACUCCCUGCACCCUGCAUCCCACUCCAGCUCAGGAGGCAGCCUCUCUCAGCGGACGCUGAACCCCAGGAGCCCUGAGGGGGCGAGUUUGAGACUGAAAGGAUAAAUGACAUCAUGGAAGUCAACAGGCAGACUGGAGCAUCAGGAACAUGAAGAAGAGGGCAAUGAAUGCUGGUAUCAGUUGGAAGACAGAACUGUCAGAACAUGUUUUGACCAUGUUCUGACAAGCAUGAAUGAAUGGAGUUCUGGAAAACUACAUUUCUGUUACGCACAUUUAUAAAAUAAAGCGAGGCAUGUAUGUUGGGGCUAUGAGGUAUCUCUCAAGUUCACAGAUAAUCUUUAGUUACAAACCUCAAGAAUUACAUACUUGUAUUGAACAUAUUAAGCCAUAAUUUUCCAACUAAGGCUUUAAAUUAAUAUUUCAUGAAGGAGUGAAUACUACUGAAAUAUACUAAAAUAUUUAUUAAGCUAAAUUUUAGCUGUAACUUUGUGUCAUGAUAGUCUUUACUUAAAUG
Long non-coding RNA from Microtus ochrogaster (prairie vole), 531 nucleotides. RefSeq lists it as uncharacterized. NCBI's taxonomy places the organism in Eukaryota, Metazoa, Chordata, Mammalia, Rodentia, Cricetidae. The record is from RefSeq and is a predicted model, not a curated record.